GAUGAACGCUGGCGGCGUGCCUAAUACAUGCAAGUCGAGCGAACGGAUGAGAAGCUUGCUUCUCUGACGUUAGCGGCGGACGGGUGAGUAACACGUGGAUAACCUACCUAUAAGACUGGGAUAAUUUCGGGAAACCGGAGCUAAUACCGGAUAAUAUUUUGAACCGCAUGGUUCAAUAGUGAAAGACGGUUUUGCUGUCACUUAUAGAUGGAUCCGCGCUGCAUUAGCUAGUUGGUAAGGUAACGGCUUACCAAGGCAACGAUGCAUAGCCGACCUGAGAGGGUGAUCGGCCACACUGGAACUGAGACACGGUCCAGACUCCUACGGGAGGCAGCAGUAGGGAAUCUUCCGCAAUGGGCGAAAGCCUGACGGAGCAACGCCGCGUGAGUGAUGAAGGUCUUCGGAUCGUAAAACUCUGUUAUUAGGGAAGAACAAAUGUGUAAGUAACUAUGCACGUCUUGACGGUACCUAAUCAGAAAGCCACGGCUAACUACGUG
RNAcentral lists this ribosomal RNA (497 nucleotides) under uncultured bacterium. RNAcentral's name for it is "partial 16S ribosomal RNA". It matches the Rfam family "Bacterial small subunit ribosomal RNA", at positions 28 to 507 of the family's 1533-position model. The record is from RNAcentral.